This 429-nucleotide ribosomal RNA is filed under the name Gemmatimonadota bacterium. RNAcentral's name for it is "Gemmatimonadetes bacterium partial 16S ribosomal RNA". It matches the Rfam family "Bacterial small subunit ribosomal RNA", at positions 355 to 776 of the family's 1533-position model. The record is from RNAcentral. Lineage: Bacteria; Pseudomonadati; Gemmatimonadota.
UAGGGAAUCUUCGGCAAUGGACGAAAGUCUGACCGAGCAACGCCGCGUGAGUGAAGAAGGUUCUCGGAUCGUAAAACUCUGUUGUUUGAGAAGAACAAGGACGUUAGUAACUGAACGUCCCCUGACGGUAUCUAACCAGAAAGCCACGGCUAACUACGUGCCAGCAGCCGCGGUAAUACGUAGGUGGCAAGCGUUGUCCGGAUUUAUUGGGCGUAAAGCGAGCGCAGGAGGUUUCUUAAGUCUGAUGUGAAAGCCCCCGGCUCAACCGAGGAGGGUCAUUGGAAACUGGGAGACUUGAGUGCAGAAGAGGAGAGUGGAAUUACAUGUGUAGCGGUGAAAUGCGUAGAUAUAUGGAGGAACACCAGUGGCGAAGGCGGCUCUCUGGUCUAUAACUGACGCUGAGGCUCGAAAGCGUGGGGAGCAAACAGG